This 252-nucleotide ribosomal RNA is filed under the name uncultured bacterium. Its description in RNAcentral is "partial 16S ribosomal RNA". It matches the Rfam family "Bacterial small subunit ribosomal RNA", at positions 524 to 776 of the family's 1533-position model. The record is from RNAcentral.
UACGUAGGGGGCAAGCGUUGUCCGGAAUUAUUGGGCGUAAAGCGCGCGCAGGCGGUCAAUUAAGUCUGGUGUAUAAACCAAGGGCUCAACCUUUGGACGCAUUGGAAACUGGUUGACUGGAGUGUAGGAGAGGAAAGUGGAAUUCCACGUGUAGCGGUGAAAUGCGUAGAGAUGUGGAGGAACACCAGUGGCGAAGGCGACUUUCUGGCCUAUAACUGACGCUGAGGCGCGAAAGCGUGGGGAGCAAACAGG